RNAcentral lists this ribosomal RNA (251 nucleotides) under uncultured bacterium. RNAcentral's name for it is "partial 16S ribosomal RNA". It matches the Rfam family "Bacterial small subunit ribosomal RNA", at positions 524 to 776 of the family's 1533-position model. The record is from RNAcentral.
UACGGAGGGUGCAAGCGUUAUCCGGAUUCACUGGGUUUAAAGGGUGCGUAGGUGGUGAGGUAAGUCGGAUGUGAAAUCUCCGAGCUCAACUCGGAAAUGGCAUUGGAAACUACCUUGCUAGAGGGUUGGAGGGGGACUGGAAUACUUGGUGUAGCAGUGAAAUGCGUAGAUAUCAAGUGGAACACCAGUGGCGAAGGCGAGUCCCUGGACAACUCCUGACACUGAGGCACGAAAGCUAGGGAGCAAAUGGG